This 71-nucleotide transfer RNA is filed under the name Marmota monax (woodchuck). RNAcentral describes it as "tRNA.Pro". Lineage: Eukaryota; Metazoa; Chordata; Mammalia; Rodentia; Sciuridae. The record is from RNAcentral.
GAGGUUGUGGCUCAGUGGCAGAGCACUUGCCUAGGAUGUGUGAGGCACUGGGUUUGAUUCUCAGCACCACG